CGGAAUGACAGACACAGUUGUGAAUUUCGAUGAGCGUUGCACACCUUGGAGGCCUCGUUGGAUUGGAAUUUCAUGGAGGUAAUUCAUAUGCGCUCCGGAAUUCUCAGUAUACAAACUGAACACUAGUGACACCUCAGCAGUGUUGAGAGUUCAACCCUUGAAA
This is a long non-coding RNA of Daphnia magna, 163 nucleotides long. RefSeq lists it as uncharacterized. NCBI's taxonomy places the organism in Eukaryota, Metazoa, Arthropoda, Branchiopoda, Diplostraca, Daphniidae. The transcript has 2 exons. The record is from RefSeq and is a predicted model, not a curated record.